This 506-nucleotide ribosomal RNA is filed under the name uncultured bacterium. RNAcentral's name for it is "partial 16S ribosomal RNA". It matches the Rfam family "Bacterial small subunit ribosomal RNA", at positions 28 to 523 of the family's 1533-position model. The record is from RNAcentral.
GAUGAACGCUAGCUACAGGCUUAACACAUGCAAGUCGAGGGGUAACAAGAGAAAAGCUUGCUUUUCUUGUUGACGACCGGCGCACGGGUGAGUAGCGCGUAUCCAACCUGCCUAUAACUAGGGAAUAACCUUGCGAAAGUAAGACUAAUACCCUAUGAUUUCCUUUGAUGACAUCAGAUUAGGAAUAAAGAUUUAUCGGUUAUAGAUGGGGAUGCGUCUGAUUAGCUUGUUGGCGGGGUAACGGCCCACCAAGGCAACGAUCAGUAGGGGUUCUGAGAGGAAGGUCCCCCACAUUGGAACUGAGACACGGUCCAAACUCCUACGGGAGGCAGCAGUGAGGAAUAUUGGUCAAUGGGCGGAAGCCUGAACCAGCCAAGUAGCGUGCAGGAUGACGGCCCUAUGGGUUGUAAACUGCUUUUAUACAGGAAUAAAGUUAGCCACGUGUGGUUAUUUGUAGGUACUGUAUGAAUAAGGACCGGCUAAUUCCGUGCCAGCCGCCGCAGUAA